Non-coding RNA from Miniopterus natalensis, 5608 nucleotides. NCBI's taxonomy places the organism in Eukaryota, Metazoa, Chordata, Mammalia, Chiroptera, Miniopteridae. The record is from RefSeq and is a predicted model, not a curated record.
GUCAAGUGAGAUAAAUGAAAUAAAGGUCUGUUGAUCGGGGUUUCUCAUCUAGUCACAUUAAAAUGGUAAGGUAUUUAGGAGGAUCGGUAAAAUUACGCACAGGUCCCAGAAACCAGUCGUCUCGCAUAACCAGGCUAACAUCGAAAACCCUGAAUUAAUUACCACGUGCUGCCCUGCACCUAUCUGAGCACGCGAGUUAUCCCCGGCUCAGAGGCAGCGGUGAGGGUGCGGACAUCGCUAUGCUUAUUUUGGCCUUGGUAGCUCGGUAUCUUAAUUUCGAUACGAAGAGAGCCAAAUUACAUUCUGCACCACGACCACCACGGGCAGAGGUUACACAGCCGCGGCCGCGACAGGUCGUAGCUCCGCCUCCCAGGCCUUUACGUCAUCACCCAAAGACAGGACUGAGAAAGGUCCCCCUUCGUUCGCCGUCGCCGCACUGAGUGCGCUGGGGCGCUCCGCCUACCAGCGCCUGAGCGGGACGCGCGUCGCCGAGCCCGGCGAACUCUGGGAGCCUGCGUCAGGCGCCCGCUAGGGGCAGUCUGCUGCGCCGUGGUCCUCCGGCGGUCGUUCGGCGCCCCACGUGCUUCUGCUGUUUGGAAUUCGCCUAGCUCGGGACGCAGUGAUAGUAUUUCAUCAUGCAUCGGAAGAAAGUAGAUAACCGAAUCCGGAUUCUCAUAGAGAAUGGUGUAGCUGAGCGGCAAAGGUCUCUCUUUGUUGUGGUUGGAGAUCGAGGGAAAGAUCAGGUGGUCAUACUCCAUCACAUGUUGUCCAAAGCAACUGUGAAGGCUCGGCCUUCAGUGCUGUGGUGUUAUAAGAAAGAGCUGGGGUUUAGCAGUCACCGGAAGAAAAGAAUGCGUCAGCUGCAGAAGAAAAUAAAGAAUGGAACACUGAACAUAAAGCAAGAUGACCCUUUUGAACUCUUUGUCGCUGCCACAAACAUUCGCUACUGCUACUACAAUGAAACCCACAAGAUCCUGGGCAAUACCUUCGGCAUGUGUGUUCUCCAGGAUUUUGAAGCUUUGACUCCAAACUUGCUGGCCAGGACUGUAGAAACAGUGGAAGGCGGUGGGCUGGUGGUUAUUCUCCUACGGACCAUGAAUUCACUCAAGCAGUUAUACACGAUGACCAUGGAUGUGCAUUCAAGAUACAGAACUGAGGCCCAUCAGGAUGUGGUGGGAAGAUUUAAUGAAAGAUUUAUUCUAUCUUUGGCCUCUUGUAAGAAGUGUCUUGUCAUUGAUGACCAGCUCAACAUCCUGCCCAUCUCCUCCCACGCCGCCAGCAUUGAGGCCCUACCUCCCCAGACCCCGGAUGAGAGUCUUGGUCCUUCUGAUCUGGAGCUGAAGGAAUUGAAGGAGAGCUUGCAGGACACGCAGCCCGUGGGCGUGUUGGUAGACUGCUGCAAGACCCUAGACCAGGCCAAAGCUGUCUUGAAAUUCAUCGAGGGGAUCUCUGAAAAGACCCUGAGGAGCACUGUCGCACUCACAGCUGCCCGAGGAAGGGGAAAAUCUGCAGCCCUUGGGUUGGCUAUUGCUGGGGCAGUGGCUUUUGGGUACUCCAAUAUCUUUGUUACCUCCCCAAGCCCUGAUAACCUCCACACUGUGUUUGAAUUUGUAUUUAAAGGAUUUGAUGCGCUACAGUAUCAGGAACAUCUGGAUUACGAGAUUAUUCAGUCUUUAAAUCCUGAAUUUAACAAAGCAGUGAUCAGAGUGAACAUAUUCCGAGAACACAGGCAGACCAUUCAGUAUAUACAUCCCGCAGACGCUGUGAAACUGGGCCAGGCUGAACUCGUUGUGAUUGAUGAAGCAGCUGCCAUCCCCCUCCCCCUGGUGAAGAGCCUCCUGGGCCCCUACCUUGUUUUCAUGGCAUCCACCAUCAACGGAUACGAGGGCACUGGACGGUCACUGUCUCUCAAGCUAAUUCAGCAGCUCCGUCAACAGAGUGCCCAGAGCCAGAUCAGCACCACUGCUGAGAACAAGACCACGACAACUGCCAGGCUGGCCUCAGCGCGAACGCUGCAUGAGGUUUCCCUGCAGGAGUCGAUCCGAUAUGCCCCUGGGGAUGCGGUGGAGAAGUGGCUGAAUGACUUGCUGUGCCUGGACUGCCUCAACAUUACUCGGAUAGUGUCAGGCUGCCCCUUGCCGGAAGCCUGCGAACUCUACUAUGUGAACAGAGAUACCCUCUUUUGCUACCACAAGGCCUCUGAAGUUUUCCUGCAGCGGCUGAUGGCCCUCUACGUGGCUUCUCACUACAAGAACUCUCCCAACGAUCUCCAGAUGCUCUCUGAUGCGCCUGCUCACCAUCUCUUCUGCCUCCUGCCCCCCGUACCCCCCACUCAGAACGCCCUUCCCGAGGUGCUCGCUGUCGUCCAGGUGUGCCUUGAGGGGGAGAUUUCUCGCCAGUCCAUCUUGAACAGCCUGUCUCGAGGCAAGAAGGCUUCUGGAGACCUGAUUCCGUGGACAGUGUCAGAACAGUUCCAAGAUCCAGACUUUGGUGGCCUUUCAGGUGGAAGAGUUGUUCGCAUUGCUGUUCACCCAGAUUAUCAAGGGAUGGGCUACGGCAGCCGAGCUCUCCAGCUGCUGCAGAUGUACUAUGAAGGCAGGUUCCCUUGUCUUGAGGAGAAGGUCAUUGAGACAUGGCAAGAAAUUCACACUGUAAGCAGUGAGGCCGUCAGCUUGUUGGAAGAAGUUGUCACUCCUCGGAAGGACCUGCCUCCUUUGCUCCUCAAAUUGAAUGAGAGGCCUGCCGAGCGCCUGGAUUACCUGGGUGUGUCCUAUGGCUUGACCCCCAGGCUCCUCAAGUUCUGGAAACGAGCUGGGUUCGUUCCUGUUUAUCUGAGACAGACCCCGAAUGACUUGACCGGAGAACACUCGUGCAUCAUGCUGAAGACGCUGGCUGAUGACAAUGAGGCUGACCAGGGAGCCUGGCUCUCAGCUUUUUGGAAAGAUUUCCGAAGGCGGUUCCUGGCUCUGCUGUCCUACCAGUUCAGCACCUUCUCUCCUCCCCUGGCUCUGAACAUUAUUCAGAACAGGAACAUCGGGAAGCCAGCACAGCCAGCCCUAUGCCGAGAGGAGCUGGAAGCCCUCUUUCUCCCCUAUGACCUGAAGAGGCUGGAGAUGUAUUCACGGAACAUGGUUGACUAUCACCUCAUCAUGGACAUGAUCCCGGCCAUCUCCCGGAUGUAUUUCCUGAACCAGCUCGGGGACCUGGCCCUGUCCGCUGCCCAGUCGGCUCUUCUCUUGGGGGUCGGCCUGCAGCAUAAGUCCGUGGACCAGCUGGAAAAGGAGAUCGAACUGCCCUCAGGCCAGUUGAUGGGACUUUUCAACCGGAUAAUCCGCAAAGUUGUGAAGCUAUUUAAUGAAGUGCAGGAAAAGGCCAUUGAGGAGCAGAUGGUGGCAGUGAAGGACGUGAUCAUGGAGCCCACGAUGAAGACCCUGAACGAUGACCUGGAUGAAGCAGCAAAGGAAUUCCAGGAGAAACACAAGAAAGAAGUGGGGAAGCUGAAGGACAUGGACCUCUCUCAAUACAUAAUCCGUGGGGAUGAUGAAGAGUGGAAUGAGGUUUUAAACAAAGCUGGGCAGAAUGCUUCGAUUGUCAGCCUGAAAAGUGACAAGAAAAGGAAAUUAGAAGCGAAACAAGAACCCAAACAGAAUAAAAAGUUGAAGAAAAACAGAGACAUGAAGCACAAAAAAGAUAUGAAACUGAAGCGGAAGAAAUAGUGAAGAGAAACUUGGGCAUCAGCAGCUGACUCAUGAAGAGGCCCUGACUUUCUGAACUGCCUCUGGCUGGACUGGGCGGUGGCUGCACCAUUUAAAGCAACUCGAGCCCCAUCAGACCCUGAAGCUGGCCUGGAAUUCAGUGUAUGCACCAAGCUUGGCUUAAAGCAAAGACACUUCUGAAUGGGUCUGCUUGGACCUUGACGCUCCUGUCAGGUGGUUUGGACCCUUCCAUCUGUUGGGAACAGAAAUUAUGUGGUGGCUUCACACAUAUUUUGGUAUGUUUGUUUGAUGGUAUCUAUUUUCAGGUCCCCAGUCCUAUACUGUGGUAUUGAAACCUUGACCCUGAAGGUCCACUGUAGUAUUGUUCCUUAUUCAUGUCACCAAGUUCAAGAAGAGCUCCAGGUGGAAUCAGCUCUGGUGCUUUUCUCUGAUCUUUCUGUCUUCUGCCACAGCAUGCGAGGCGAGGACAACUAGGCAGUGCCCUGGUGGCAUCAGUCUUCAGCUUCUACUCUGUUCUUAUUUUUACCUGAAAAAUUCAUGUGGCCUUGGUUACUGAUCUUCAUUGCUUUUUCUUAGACUUUAAAAGGACUGGUCUUCUAUGAGUCGAAAUAGAUUCUUUCCUCGGCCCUGAUAUGUAGCCAGGUUCCUAGCUGGACAACGCAUGGAUGGUGAGCUAAAGGGGAGCCUCUGGACCAAAGAAGAUUAAACAGGUGACCCAGGGGACUCAUGGCCACAGGGAGAACAAACUCUGUCCCCUGCAUCUCUCUCCAUAGCCCUAGGGGCCUUUUGUCUCCUGGCUCUGCAACUUCCUGCCUAAAGACCCCCUGUGAAGUCUGCAGGAGAGUUUGCUGAGGAGAGAUGAAAAUAAUUUCUGAUCCAUUCUCUGGAGAGUGCCUGAGCCUACCUUUAAAAGAUCUUAGGAGAGGCCAUAAGCUAAAUCAGUAUCUCAAAUGGGCUGAGCUGGGUGUAUCCUAACUCUCCUGUCUUGUCCCAUGUCCCACAGGUGUGGGGCCUAGCCUGAGCCCUCGCACUAGUCUCUAGCCCCAAGGCCUGCCCUCUGCUUGGCUCCAGGGCAUAGGAAGAGGUGCUCUGGAGCAGACUGCCUGGCUUUGAUACUGGCUCUGCCCUGACCCUCACUGUGACCUUGGGUGUACCACUUAGCUCUCCCUGCUGUCUGGGUCCACAUCUGUAAUAUGCAAGUGGUAAUGACAACACUAGCUCAGGGCUGUGGUGAGGGGUAGAACGGGAAAAGCUAACAGUGCCUGGCAGGCAGCAAGUGCCCACCAAGUCUGAGUUCUGUGCCCAGAGAGUGGCAAGGCGUGCUGCAGUUACCUGCCAGUGCUGACUUACUGAAUGGGAUUGGCUUUGUUCACAACCCACAACCUGAGCUAGAAGAGGAGUCCCCUUGGGCAGCAAGGAACGUGCAUUUCACAGUCAGACUGUCUGGCGCUGGCUUUGUGUCUUCCAGCGAGGUUUGCUUCCCUCUUCCACACAAAAAGCAAGCAAACGUUUUGCCUCCUGUGUACAGUCCUGGUCCUUUUAUUUGCAAAGUGAAUGUUCCUGAACAGGUCUCUGCACUUCCUGGUUGUGAUCUUGGAUUCUCCUCCAAAUCUGAAAGAGCAUGCCUCCCCCAGGCCUCACCAUCUGGCCCCCAGACAGUGACAUCUGUAAAGCUUGCUGUCACAGGAGCUCUCACUUGCGAAAUGAAUUCGGCCAGGCCGGCUAUGAAUGCUGCCACCAGGACAUGGGGAAGGGGCUGAAGAAGCCUGAACAAAGGAGAUGCCUAAAUGGUCUUCAUCCUGGAGCAGGGAGGGGCUGAUACAGGCCUGCUUCAGCGCCUCCACCGCUCAUCUGGCCCAGCAGCCCCAGAGGACUACCGAGUGACCAGGAGA